GUCGAUCGAGAUAAAAUUUUAAAUGAUAUCCUCAAGCAUGAUAUGGCAAGCACUAGUUGGAUGACCUUCUAUCUGAGGAUCAAGCUAGUUAGUCCUCAUGAUGUCUCUCCCCACAAUAAUAUUAUAAACGAAGCUCUUAAAAAAUCAAGCAAGAAUGCUUUCAGAUCAAUUUUGGGAAAGGGAAGCAGACAAGGAUACUUUAUUCUCACUCUUUACUGCCGAGGGGGACACUAGAUGCUUAUUAUGGCUAAUCCCAUUACUCCAAAAAUAUGAUAUCUCAAUCCCCUUAAUGGAGAACCAAG
Prosopis cineraria is the source of this 302-nucleotide long non-coding RNA. RefSeq lists it as uncharacterized. The transcript has 3 exons. The record is from RefSeq and is a predicted model, not a curated record. NCBI's taxonomy places the organism in Eukaryota, Viridiplantae, Streptophyta, Magnoliopsida, Fabales, Fabaceae.